AGAGUUUGAUCAUGGCUCAGGACGAACGCUGGCGGCGUGCCUAAUACAUGCAAGUCGAGCGGACUUGAUGGAGAGCUUGCUCUCCUGAUGGUUAGCGGCGGACGGGUGAGUAACACGUAGGCAACCUGCCUGCAAGACCGGGAUAACCCACGGAAACGUGAGCUAAUACCGGAUAUUUCAUUUCCUCUCCUGAGGGGAUGAUGAAAGACGGAGCAAUCUGUCGCUUGCGGAUGGGCCUGCGGCGCAUUAGCUAGUUGGUGAGGUAACGGCUCACCAAGGCGACGAUGCGUAGCCGACCUGAGAGGGUGAACGGCCACACUGGGACUGAGACACGGCCCAGACUCCUACGGGAGGCAGCAGUAGGGAAUCUUCCGCAAUGGGCGAAAGCCUGACGGAGCAACGCCGCGUGAGUGAUGAAGGUUUUCGGAUCGUAAAGCUCUGUUGCCAGGGAAGAACGUCCGGUAGAGU
RNAcentral lists this ribosomal RNA (468 nucleotides) under Paenibacillus favisporus. RNAcentral's name for it is "bacterial SSU rRNA". It matches the Rfam family "Bacterial small subunit ribosomal RNA", at positions 8 to 462 of the family's 1533-position model. The record is from RNAcentral. Lineage: Bacteria; Bacillati; Bacillota; Bacilli; Caryophanales; Paenibacillaceae.